CAGAGGUCCCAAGCGUUGUUCGGAUUCACUGGGCGUAAAGGGUGCGUAGGUGGUCAGGUAAGUCGGAUGUGAAAUCUCCGAGCUCAACUCGGAAACUGCAUUGGAAACUACCUGGCUCGAGGGUUGGAGGGGGGACUGGAAUGCUUGGUGUAGCAGUGAAAUGCGUAGAUAUCAAGCGGAACACCAGUGGCGAAGGCGAGUCCCUGGACAACUCCUGACACUGAUGCACGAAAGCUAGGGGAGCAAACAGGAUUAGAUACCCUGGUAGUCCUAGCCGUAAACGGUGCACGUUUGCUGUAAAAGGAAUCGACCCCUUUUGUGGCGUAGCCAACGCGUUAAACGUGCCGCCUGGGAAGUACGGUCGCAAGAUUA
This 372-nucleotide ribosomal RNA is filed under the name uncultured organism. RNAcentral describes it as "bacterial SSU rRNA". It matches the Rfam family "Bacterial small subunit ribosomal RNA", at positions 526 to 896 of the family's 1533-position model. The record is from RNAcentral.